UGGGGAAUAUUGCACAAUGGGCGAAAGCCUGAUGCAGCAACGCCGCGUGAGUGAUGAAGGCCUUCGGGUUGUAAAGCUCUGUCUUUUGGGACGAUAAUGACGGUACCAAAGGAGGAAGCCACGGCUAACUACGUGCCAGCAGCCGCGGUAAUACGUAGGUGGCAAGCGUUGUCCGGAUUUACUGGGCGUAAAGGAUGCGUAGGCGGAUUUUAAGUGAGAUGUGAAAUACCCGGGCUUAACUUGGGUGCUGCAUUUCAAACUGGGAAUCUAGAGUGCGGGAGAGGAGAAUGGAAUUCCUAGGUGUAGCGGUGAAAUGCGUAGAGAUUAGGAAGAACACCAGUGGCGAAGGCGAUUCUCUGGACCGUAACUGACGCUGAGGCAUGAAAGCGUGGGUAGCAAACAGGAUUAGAUACCCUGGUAGUCCACGCCGUAAACGAUGAGUACUAGGUGUAGGAGGUAUCGACCCCUUCUGUGCCGCAGUUAACACAAUCAAGUACUCCGCCUGGGAAGUACGAUCGCAAGAUUAAAACUCAAAGGAAUUGACGGGGUCAUAGCU
This 556-nucleotide ribosomal RNA is filed under the name uncultured bacterium. RNAcentral describes it as "partial 16S ribosomal RNA". It matches the Rfam family "Bacterial small subunit ribosomal RNA", at positions 355 to 926 of the family's 1533-position model. The record is from RNAcentral.